GAUGAUGAAACUCAGCUGCAGGAAAAAUAAAAGGUGAUAUUAUUACCAGGAUACUAAAUACAUUACAUAUAGACAUUCCAAGCUCGUAACCUCGACUACCUACGCAUGGAUACUAAAAUAAUAACCAAAGAUGAUCGUAUUAUAAUAAUAAAAAAGGCAGAAACUUGUUCCUGGAGGCCAAAGCAUGUUGAAUACUUUUGAGCAAUCAUCUCGCACACGAUUAGAAGCAACUGUUCCGAAAUGAAGUACACUAUUUGCUUUUUGUUGACGUUGUUUAUAUCCACUAUUUGUUACGAAUAUGACAAUGAUAAAGAAGAAUUUAAUGAAUUUUACGAGGAAUUAGAAAUGGAAGAAGAAAGUAAAAAGCCUAUAAUAUACGAUUUAAAGGACUCGAAACGUUUAUUUGAGCAAUACAUUAAGGAUUUUAACAAAUCGUAUAAGGAUGACAAGGAAUAUAAGGAACAUUACGAAAACUUCGUUGAUAAUCUCAAAUUUAUAAAUCAAGUGAACUCGUCGGGAAAAUCGUCGGUAGCUGGACUUAAUUCGUUAUCCGACAGAGAUGUGACGAGUGAAUUUGACGGAUUUUUAUAAAAGAAAUACUCUCUACGAUGAAGAAUUGAACCAUAAUAUAUGUAUAGCAAGCAUAAACUUAGAGUUAUCUAUACUGAAUAAAACAAUAAAUGAAAUUAAACUAUAAUGAA
This is a long non-coding RNA of Pieris brassicae (large cabbage white), 701 nucleotides long. RefSeq lists it as uncharacterized. The record is from RefSeq and is a predicted model, not a curated record. NCBI's taxonomy places the organism in Eukaryota, Metazoa, Arthropoda, Insecta, Lepidoptera, Pieridae. The transcript is spliced from 4 exons.